This 801-nucleotide ribosomal RNA is filed under the name uncultured bacterium. Its description in RNAcentral is "bacterial SSU rRNA". It matches the Rfam family "Bacterial small subunit ribosomal RNA", at positions 69 to 867 of the family's 1533-position model. The record is from RNAcentral.
AGAAGGUGUAGCAAUACACUUGUAAAGCGGCGAACGGGUGAGGAAUACAUGGGUAACCUACCCUCGAGUGGGGAAUAACUAGCCGAAAGGUUAGCUAAUAUCGCAUACGUUUCCGGGACUUCGGUACCGGAAAGAAAGCAGUACCGUGGGUACUGCGCUCAUGGAUGGGCUCAUGUCCUAUCAGCUUGUUGGUGAGGUAACGGCUCACCAAGGCUUCGACGGGUAGCUGGUCUGAGAGGACGAUCAGCCACACUGGCACUGCGACACGGGCCAGACUCCUACGGGAGGCAGCAGUAAGGAAUAUUGCGCAAUGGACGAAAGUCUGACGCAGCGACGCCGCGUGGGGGAUGAAGGUCUUCGGAUUGUAAACCCCUUUCGGGAGGGAAGAUGGAGUGGGUAACCACUUGGACGAUACCUCCAGAAGCAGCCACGGCUAACUUCGUGCCAGCAGCCGCGGUAAUACGAAGGUGGCAAGCGUUGUUCGGAUUCACUGGGCGUACAGGGAGCGUAGGCGGUUGGGUAAGCCCUCCGUGAAAUCUCCGGGCCUAACCCGGAAAGUGCAGAGGGGACUGCUCAGCUAGAGGAUGGGAGAGGAGCGCGGAAUUCCCGGUGUAGCGGUGAAAUGCGUAGAGAUCGGGAGGAAGGCCGGUGGCGAAGGCGGCGCUCUGGAACAUUUCUGACGCUGAGGCUCGAAAGCGUGGGGAGCAAACAGGAUUAGAUACCCUGGUAGUCCACGCCUUAAACUAUGGAUACUAAGUGUCGGCGGGUUACCGCCGGUGCCGCAGCUAACGCAUUAAGUAU